UAAAUUCAAGAAAAACAAGAAAAAAACAAAAACAAGACAAUAGUUUCUUCAGACAAAAAAAAAUCAAGGAAAACAAGGAAAACAACAGCAAGGAGAGAGAGAGAGAGAGAGAGAGAGAGAGAGAGAGAGAGAGAGAGAGAGAGAGAGAGAGAGAGUCCACCUGUCUACCUGAGCCUUGGGACACCUGGAACAGCCCUAAUUAGCACCUGUAAGUAGUUGUAAGUAGUAAUGGUAAGUAGUUGUAAGUAGUAAGACAUCUUGGAACCCUAAUUUUUAAGUCUUAUAUAUGAUUAAGUAGCAUAGUAGUAAUAGUAGUAGUAGUAGUAGUAGUAGUAGUAGUUGUGGUAGUAGUAGUGGUGGUAAUAAUAGUAGUAGUAGUAGUAGUAGUAGUAGUAGUAGGAAAUCUUAUGUAACUCAAAUUUGGAUCAGCACAGUAGUAGUAAUAGUAGUAGUAGUAGUAGUAGUAAUAGCAGUAACAUAAGCAGUACUUUUAGCAGGAACAACAAGAGGAUCAGAACACCUUUUAAGAGAUUCAUAAACUCUCCCACGCUGACUUAAAGGGAAUGGAAAGAGAAAGUGUGUCUUGAACCUUCUCCUGACAGCAUUGGAACCUCUCUUUAAUUGAUCCCCCAGGACUACAAAGGUUCUGAUCCUACUCACAGCAAACCCAUAGCCAAGACUUGAAAUGGAGGGGGAGUGUGUGUGGGGGGGGGAGGGGGGGCUAUUUCUUGUGUAGGGGGGCUGUGAUAAUCGUAAAGGGGGUGAAUCUAUCAUAAGGAGCUGAAUCUAUCGUAAGGGGCUGAAUCUAUUGUAAGGGUCUGAAUCUACUGUAAGGGGCUCAAUAUCAUAAGGGGCUGAGUCUAUUGUAAGGGGCUGAAUCUGUUGUCAGGGGCUGAAUCUAUUGUAAGGGGCUGAAUCUAUUGUAAGGGGCUGAAUCUAUUGUAAGGGACUGAAUCUAUCGUAAGGAGUUGAAUCUAUCGUAAGGAGCUGAAUCUAUCUUAAGGGGUUGAAUCUAUUGUAAGGGAGGCCGUUUCUAUCAUAAGGGGGGCUGUUUCUAUCAUAGUGGGGCUGUCUAUUUUUGGGGAGGGGGCAAAUCUCCCUGCCCAACCCCCUACAAGGCAGACUCAAAGAGGUUCCAAUGCUAUUCAGAGAGGUUCCAACACUACUUAAAUAGAUUCCAAUGCUUUUCAGAGGUUCCAAUACUACUCAAAUAGAUUCCAAUGUUUUUCAGAGAGGUUGCAACACUACUUAUUAUAGAUUCCAAUGCUUUUCAGAGAGGUUCCAAUGCUAUAUAUAAGGGUUCCAAUACAACUAACAAAGGUUCCAAUGCUAUUCAGAGAGGUUCCAAUACUACUAACAAAGAUUCCAAUGUGACUUACAAAGGUUUGAGUGCUCACAGAGGUUUCAAUCCCAUCUCACAAGCCUCACACUCUCUACCAAAGGGGAUUUAAGGGUAAAAAUAGCUUUAAAUCCCUUUCUUGGCACCAUAAUAAAGGUUCCAAUUCCAUACAAAGGUUUCAAACUCUCUUCACAAGCUAUCAAUAGGGAUUCAUGACUUGCCUUCACUACACACACACACACACACAUGCACACAAACACACACGUACACAUAGAUCCUGCCUGUGCGUACAUACAUAAGUUAGUUACGUGCACACAUGAAUACGCGCACAUGGGGAGGCUGUGUGUGUGUGACCUCUCUCCAUGUGCGUCUGUAUGUACAUUUAAAAAGAUUAUUGUUAUUAUUUUUUUGUGUUUUUGUUUUUUGUACAGGAAGUUAGAUAAAACACACACACACACACACACACACACACACACACACACACACACACACACACACACACACACACACACACACACAUACAUAUAUAUACAUACACAGGUAUACAUAAACAUUUCAAAUAUACAUAAAUAUUCAAUAAUUUUUAACACUGAGUAUACAUAAAAUAUCCAUAAUUUAAUACAUAAAGAAUAAUUAUUUAUUAUUAUUAUUAUUAUUAUUGGUGGUGGUGGUGGUAGAGCAGAAGUGGUGGUAGUAGUAGUAGUAGUAGUAGUAGUAGUAGUAGUAGUAGUAGUAGUAACACACACACACACACACACACACACACACACACACACACACACACACACACACACACACACACACGAUAACA
Long non-coding RNA from Eriocheir sinensis (Chinese mitten crab), 2150 nucleotides. RefSeq lists it as uncharacterized. NCBI's taxonomy places the organism in Eukaryota, Metazoa, Arthropoda, Malacostraca, Decapoda, Varunidae. The transcript has 2 exons. The record is from RefSeq and is a predicted model, not a curated record.